RNAcentral lists this small nuclear RNA (311 nucleotides) under Felis catus (domestic cat). Its description in RNAcentral is "7SK RNA". It matches the Rfam family "7SK RNA". From Rfam's summary of the family: 7SK was discovered as an abundant small nuclear RNA in the mid-70s but a possible function has only recently been suggested. Two independent studies have found that 7SK RNA binds the CDK9/cyclin T complex (known as elongation factor P-TEFb). Lineage: Eukaryota; Metazoa; Chordata; Mammalia; Carnivora; Felidae. The record is from Rfam by way of RNAcentral.
AUAUAAAGGCUAUCUAGUUGCGACUGCUGUCGCCCAAUUCAUUGUCAGGGUUGAGUUGGCUAAUCGAGGUGGCUAGGCUGGUAUCCUCUUCUUCAUUGUUACUGAAGCUGCAUCCUUGGUGGAAGAAGACAACCAUCCUGAUAGAGGAGGAACCUCUUUGAUCAAGGGUAUAUGAAUAGCGGUGCCACUUGUAGAACUUCCAUACAAACUCUCAACAAAACAGGCAUUGAGCUGGACCUUGAAGUAGAAACAUGACUAGAUGGAGGGCAGGCAUGCACACGAGUGCAGAAAUGGUCGUGCCCACUGAUUAU